Molecule: non-coding RNA, 2458 nt
Organism: Rattus norvegicus (Norway rat)
Lineage: Eukaryota; Metazoa; Chordata; Mammalia; Rodentia; Muridae
Source: RefSeq, a predicted model, not a curated record
GUUCUUUCUGCAGGGAGGCGUGGAACAGAACGUCAGUUUUACUGGGGACUCCUGGACACCCUCUCCACACACCGGAAUGGCUUCCUCUUCUCCCUGCUUCCAGCACUCCCGUGUUUAUGACAGGUCGGGUAGGGGAGCUUCAAGCAGGCCAGGAGGAGCAUAGAACAUGGACCUAGGUGUCCCCAAGGAGACAUUCUCAUACAGUAACUGCCCUCCCUGCACAUAGAGGACUACCCCUGCUAGCUCACCCCAGCCUUCGACAUUCUCCUACCAGACUCCACGUCCCCAGAUCAGCCUGUCACGUUGCGGGAAGGCAGCUCAAAGGCCACGGAGGGUUCCGGGUUGGAUUUUACCACACACAGGCACUGCACGGUGUCUCUGGCCGCUGCACAGUGCGAUUCCAGAAGGAUUAUGGGAGCAACUGCAAGAUUAAAAGCAAGGCUAAAGGCCCUUGUGCUUGGAAACAGUCAUAAGGAGAUUAAAGAGAUAGAAAAUGGAAGGACCCCAGAAGGACACUCAUUCCCACUCUGUACCUGAUGAGGACAUCACAGUUCCCUCUGCACACAAGCUCUCCUAAUAGAUACCUGACUCAGGCCACUGUGACAUCCAACAGGUACCAACAUGCCAUCCAAGGAUUCUUCCUAUUUUUUCUUUCUUUCUCCACUCCCUGCCCUGCCACCCUUUUGGGUUUUGAGAUGGGCUUUCUCUGUAGCCCUGGCUCUCCUAGAACUCACUCUGCAGACCAGGCUGGCCUUGAAGUCACAGAGAUCCACUUGCCUCUGCCACCCGAGUGUUGGGAUUAAAGGAGUGCACCACUGUGCCUGGCCCCAAGGAUUCUUUCUUCUUUGGAAUCCCAAUCCAUGUGAGUCACAGGACUUGGGAUGUGCCUUGUGAGAGACUCCCCUGCCUCUGCUUUUGGGGUGACUCCAGCCUGGAUAUGAGACAAAACAGCUGUGUUUUUCCAUCUGUGCCAUCUCUAACUUUGGUCAUGGCCUCUGAUCAUGAUGGUUGGAGUAAUGUUUUCCUGAGGGGACCAAUGGACUUUGGUCGUUUGACCUAUUCAAGCUACAGCCUCCUUUGGCAAGUUCCUUCCUUCUCCCCUGCCCCUCACCUUGCUUCCUCACCUGGGGACCCCUUGAAUCUCCGUCCCUUUCCUCAUUACCAUCAACAUCCCUCUCCUGCUCUCAUAGCUUUACAUGAGAGUACAUCUAGUCUUUUUUUUUUUUUUUUUCCGGAGCUGGAGACCGAACCCAGGGCCUUGCGCUUGCUAGGCAAGCGCUCUACCACUGAACUAAAUCCCCAACCCUAUAUCUAGUCUUGAAUGGGUUUCUGUCCUCGUUUCCCCAGUAUAAAUGUUACAUUAGAACAGUGAGUGGUGCCUUUUGUUCAUCUGGUUUUGAAACAGAGUCUUGUUAUAUAACUCUGAAUAGCCUGGAACUCUCUGUGGUUCUCUGUCUCCCAAGAGCUAGGGCUUAUAGGCUUGAGCCACCAUGCCCAGCUAAAUGAUGCAUUUGUGUGUGUGUGUGUGUGUGUGUGUGUGUGUGUGUGUGUGUGUGUGUAAGAGAAUUGUGAUAUGUGCAGUUAUGUGGAGUUGUGCAUCAUGGGUGAAUGCCUAUGUGAGUGUCACAGAAUGACACUAGGUGCAUUUCUCUAUCGCUUAACAUUUUGAGACAGUGUCUCUCCCUAAUACUGGAGCUCACCAACCGGCUAGCCAGCAGUCCCUGGAAUCCUCCUGUCUCUGUUCCCAGUACCCAGAUUACUGGUACAUAUUUCUUUUAACCCUGUGCAUAGGAUUUGAAUUCAGGUCCUUGUGCUUAUGCAGAAGCACAUAACCCACUGAGCCACCUCCUCAGCCCCUAAAUUACGCUUUUAAAACUAUGUUCUUUAAGCUAUCUGACACCUCUCUGCCGGUUCUAGACCAAGCUGGUACUGAGUGAAUUCUGGCCCAAAUCUGCUCACGCAGGCCAAAGACCAUCAGCUCGUUGACUCCACCCACUUUUAAGCCCAAAGCAAUGGGCCAGUAACAAUGGUGGGCAGCAAGUCCCAGGAGCAGAUAAAUGUGCACCAGGGCUGGGUAACUCCGGCUGGAGCCUCAGUGCACAUCUCUGCAAAGCUAAAGCGGAGAGGGACCACGCAUGCGCACUCUGCCCGCUGUACCGGUGAGCAAUCAGUUCAGCUCAAGGCACUGAGUACAACUGAGUCUGAACAAAACGGACGAUCCUAGAACAUUUCUGAACCGCUCCCAUCCAGGACAUCACAACCAGCAUGCUGGUGACAAGUGUCCACUCCAGAUGUUCGAGUGCUGGUGCCCUGCCUAUGUGCGGAUUCAGUAUCUUUCCAGCUUCCCAGAAGUUUCAGAAGUAAAUUUGGGGGUACCUGACUUUGGCAUCCCAACUCUGCCAUCUACUGGCUGAGUGCGGCCAGUGAGUCUUCAAGAUGGAGAAGUAAAGGUGAAGGG